GUGUGCGAACAGUGCGUUGCAACGGUGCCGCUCGCACCCAUCCGCCGUGCCCGUUCCGAAGGGCGCGAACGACGAAYGACGGCGAUGGCGACCGGGCACGACAUCUCAUCCGCGGUGAACCAACACACACAACGCGCGCACACGCACGGGCACACGAAAACGCAAGUCGGCCCCGCGAGUUUCGUUUUGCUGCAAACGUUUUCAGUGAGACUCGAACGACGGCCGCGGCUGCGGGGACGGCGAACUGCAGGGCGCAAACACGGAGCCGACGGCACACGACUCGGAAAUUGUUGAUGUCCACGCGAAUAUUCAUCCGAGAUCACGUACUUCAAGYGCAUCAUUGGAUAUUUGGACAAACUUAUUAGGACAAUCUAUAAGUACACGACGACACGGCGCCGACCGAACAAAAAUUACAAGUGCAGGACACGGUAUAUAUACUAUAUAGGUAUAUCAACUCGUCCGCGAUUUCGACUGAAACAGAGUACACAUACACCGUGUUCGCCGGAUAAAUCUGUGGUGGAAGGUGAAACGGCCGCCGAUGUCACGUCUUCGSACACCGCCAGUCGUGUGUUUCACUCGGAAUAAUAGUAAUAAUUGUACAAAUAACAACGAUUAGUAAUGAUAAAACAUUACAAAUCGUUAUUAUAAUAAUAUUAUUGCUAAUGCUUCAAGUCGUGCGACAAUAGGGCCGUAUAAAAUACAAGGCGACGAAACAACAGUACAUAAUUUUCUACGCCACACCUCAACCCGUUACCGCAAACUCAACAGUUAAAAUAUAUAGUGAGUAAAAACAAAAACAAAUUUUAAAAAAAAUUCUAUUAUCGUACCAGCCGAAAACGUACUCGAUAUUAUAUAUUGUAUUAUGAAUGUAUAUUUUUUUUUUGUCGGUCACGUCGCGGCUUUAURACCGAGCGGUAUACUGUCAAAAUUAGCCAAAGGUAUAAAAAAAGUGUAUAAAUUAUUAAAUGAUUGAUAUUAAUAUGUAUGAAAAAAAAUUAAAAUAUUUCGUUCCACACGUUCUAUCAAAACCAAAA
Diuraphis noxia (Russian wheat aphid) is the source of this 1034-nucleotide long non-coding RNA. RefSeq lists it as uncharacterized. Lineage: Eukaryota; Metazoa; Arthropoda; Insecta; Hemiptera; Aphididae. The record is from RefSeq and is a predicted model, not a curated record.